UACGGAGGGCGCAAGCGUGAUCCGGAAUCACUGGGUUUAAAGGGUGCGUAGGCGGCUAGAUAAGUCAGAGGUGAAAGUUUGACGCUUAACGAUAGAACUGCCUUUGAUACUGUUAAGCUUGAAAGUAGGUGAGGUUGGCGGAAUGUGACAUGUAGCGGUGAAAUGCAUAGAUAUGUCAUAGAACACCGAUUGCGAAGGCAGCCGGCCAACCUGACUGUGACGAUGAGGCACGAAAGCGUGGGUAGCGAACAGG
RNAcentral lists this ribosomal RNA (253 nucleotides) under uncultured bacterium. RNAcentral's name for it is "partial 16S ribosomal RNA". It matches the Rfam family "Bacterial small subunit ribosomal RNA", at positions 524 to 776 of the family's 1533-position model. The record is from RNAcentral.